AGGAAAGAGCUCAAAGUUGGAACCUGUUUGGCUUAGCUAAACCGGAUUGUAAACUGUAGAAGUGUUUUCCUGACACGCCUGGUAAAAAAGUCCUUUGGAACAGGGCAUCAUAGAGGGUGAGAAUCCCGUCAUUGGCCAGAGCUGUUGUCUUUUGUGAUACAUUUUCAAAGAGUCAGGUUGUUUGGGAAUGCAGCCUAAAUUGGGUGGUAAAUCUCACCUAAAGCUAAAUAUUUGCGAGAGACCGAUAGCGAACAAGUACCGUGAGGGAAAGAUGAAAAGAACUUUGAAAAGAGAGUUAAACAGUAUGUGAAAUUGUUAAAAGGGAACCGUUUGGAGCCAGACUGGCUUAACUGUAAUCAAUCUAGGCUUUGGCCUGGAUGCACUUGCGGUUUAUGCCGGCCAACGACAGUUUUGUUUGGGGGAAAAAAUUACAUUGAAUGUGGCCCUUCGGGGCGUUAUAGCUUUGUAAAAAAUACCCUGGACUGGACUGAGGAACGCAGUGAAUGCCUUUAGGCAAGAUUGCUGGGUGCUUUCGCUAAUAAAUGCUAGAAUUUCUGCUUCGGGUGGUGCUAGUGUUUAAAGGAGGAACUCGCUUAGUAU
RNAcentral lists this ribosomal RNA (600 nucleotides) under Mucor hiemalis. RNAcentral's name for it is "eukaryotic LSU rRNA". It matches the Rfam family "Eukaryotic large subunit ribosomal RNA", at positions 99 to 619 of the family's 3401-position model. The record is from RNAcentral. Lineage: Eukaryota; Fungi; Mucoromycota; Mucoromycetes; Mucorales; Mucoraceae.